Molecule: ribosomal RNA, 719 nt
Filed under: uncultured bacterium
Lineage: Bacteria
Description: bacterial SSU rRNA
Rfam family: Bacterial small subunit ribosomal RNA
Source: RNAcentral
GGCCUAACACAUGCAAGUCGAGCGGUAGAGAGAAGCUUGCUUCUCUUGAGAGCGGCGGACGGGUGAGUAAUACCUAGGAAUCUGCCUGAUAGUGGGGGAUAACGUUCGGAAACGGACGCUAAUACCGCAUACGUCCUACGGGAGAAAGCAGGGGACCUUCGGGCCUUGCGCUAUCAGAUGAGCCUAGGUCGGAUUAGCUAGUUGGUGAGGUAAUGGCUCGCCAAGGCUACGAUCCGUAACUGGUCUGAGAGGAUGAUCAGUCACACUGGAACUGAGACACGGUCCAGACUCCUACGGGAGGCAGCAGUGGGGAAUAUUGGACAAUGGGCGAAAGCCUGAUCCAGCCAUGCCGCGUGUGUGAAGAAGGUCUUCGGAUUGUAAAGCACUUUAAGUUGGGAGGAAGGGCAGUUACCUAAUACGUGAUUGUCUUGACGUUACCGACAGAAUAAGCACCGGCUAACUCUGUGCCAGCAGCCGCGGUAAUGCAGAGGGUGCAAGCGUUAAUCGGAAUUACUGGGCGUAAAGCGCGCGUAGGUGGUUUGUUAAGUUGAAUGUGAAAUCCCCGGGCUCAACCUGGGAACUGCAUCCAAAACUGGCAAGCUAGAGUAUGGUAGAGGGUAGUGGAAUUUCCUGUGUAGCGGUGAAAUGCGUAGAUACAGGAAGGAACACCGGUGGCGAAGGCGACUACCUGGACUGAUACUGACACUGAGGUGCGAAAG